Molecule: non-coding RNA, 23 nt
Filed under: Arabidopsis thaliana (thale cress)
Lineage: Eukaryota; Viridiplantae; Streptophyta; Magnoliopsida; Brassicales; Brassicaceae
Source: RNAcentral
AGGAAAUUAACCGUGCUUUCUCU